UACGGAGGAUGCAAGCGUUAUCCGGAAUGAUUGGGCGUAAAGCGUCCGCAGGUGGCUAUGUAAGUCUGCUGUUAAAGAGUGAGGCUCAACCUCAUAAGAGCAGUGGAAACUACAUGGCUAGAGUGCGUUCGGGGCAGAGGGAAUUCCUGGCGUAGCGGUGAAAUGCGUAGAUAUCAGGAAGAACACCGGUGGCGAAAGCGCUCUGCUAGGCCGCAACUGACACUGAGGGACGAAAGCUAGGGGAGCGAAUGGG
This 253-nucleotide ribosomal RNA is filed under the name uncultured bacterium. RNAcentral's name for it is "partial 16S ribosomal RNA". It matches the Rfam family "Bacterial small subunit ribosomal RNA", at positions 524 to 776 of the family's 1533-position model. The record is from RNAcentral.